Molecule: ribosomal RNA, 253 nt
Filed under: uncultured prokaryote
Description: partial 16S ribosomal RNA
Rfam family: Bacterial small subunit ribosomal RNA
Source: RNAcentral
UACGUAGGUGGCAAGCGUUGUCCGGAAUUAUUGGGCGUAAAGCGCGCGCAGGCGGUCCUUUAAGUCUGAUGUGAAAGCCCACGGCUCAACCGUGGAGGGUCAUUGGAAACUGGGGGACUUGAGUGCAGAAGAGGAAAGCGGAAUUCCACGUGUAGCGGUGAAAUGCGUAGAGAUGUGGAGGAACACCAGUGGCGAAGGCGGCAUCCUGGACCGGCAUUGACGCUGAGGCGCGAAAGCCAGGGGAGCAAACGGG